This 27-nucleotide non-coding RNA is filed under the name Rattus norvegicus (Norway rat). The record is from RNAcentral. Lineage: Eukaryota; Metazoa; Chordata; Mammalia; Rodentia; Muridae.
UGCCAGAAAUCUAGAGAAGACGAGUCA